CAUUAUUUUGUCAGUUCUAACUUUUUGACUCAUCUACCUGCAACUGAAGGGAAAAUCAGAGUUAGAGCUUGGAGCAGACAUUGAAAUAUUUACAGGUCAUAAAGAUUAGAGAAAUUGUUGGCUUGAAGUUAAAAAGGAGAAGAAAAAAACUAGAUUUUGUGGUUGAGCAGAGCUGCAUCAAUUGUGGUGUUUGCAUGGGC
Long non-coding RNA from Lotus japonicus, 200 nucleotides. RefSeq lists it as uncharacterized. NCBI's taxonomy places the organism in Eukaryota, Viridiplantae, Streptophyta, Magnoliopsida, Fabales, Fabaceae. The record is from RefSeq and is a predicted model, not a curated record. The transcript has 3 exons.